This 478-nucleotide ribosomal RNA is filed under the name uncultured bacterium. Its description in RNAcentral is "partial 16S ribosomal RNA". It matches the Rfam family "Bacterial small subunit ribosomal RNA", at positions 28 to 507 of the family's 1533-position model. The record is from RNAcentral.
GAUGAACGCUAGCGGCAGGCCUAACACAUGCAAGUCGAGGGGUAGAAGUCUUCGGGCUUUGAGACCGGCGCACGGGUGCGUAACGCGUAUGCAAUCUGCCUUACACUAAGGGAUAGCCCAGAGAAAUUUGGAUUAAUACCUUAUAGUAUAUUGAUGUGGCAUCACAUUAUUAUUAAAGAUUUAUCGGUGUAAGAUGAGCAUGCGUCCCAUUAGCUAGUUGGUAUGGUAACGGCAUACCAAGGCAAUGAUGGGUAGGGGUCCUGAGAGGGAGAUCCCCCACACUGGUACUGAGACACGGACCAGACUCCUACGGGAGGCAGCAGUGAGGAAUAUUGGACAAUGGGCGCAAGCCUGAUCCAGCCAUGCCGCGUGCAGGAUGACGGUCCUAUGGAUUGUAAACUGCUUUUAUACAGGAAGAAACCCUACUACGUGUAGUAGAUUGACGGUACUGUAGGAAUAAGGAUCGGCUAACUCCGUG